GUCUCGUUCGUCUAGCGGUCAGGACCCCGGGCUUUCAUCCCGGUGAUCGUGGGUCCGAAUCCCACACGAGGCUCCA
RNAcentral lists this transfer RNA (76 nucleotides) under Variovorax boronicumulans. RNAcentral describes it as "tRNA-Glu". It matches the Rfam family "tRNA". Rfam says of the family: Transfer RNA (tRNA) molecules are approximately 80 nucleotides in length. The record is from RNAcentral. Lineage: Bacteria; Pseudomonadati; Pseudomonadota; Betaproteobacteria; Burkholderiales; Comamonadaceae.